Daucus carota subsp. sativus is the source of this 529-nucleotide long non-coding RNA. RefSeq lists it as uncharacterized. NCBI's taxonomy places the organism in Eukaryota, Viridiplantae, Streptophyta, Magnoliopsida, Apiales, Apiaceae. The transcript is spliced from 2 exons. The record is from RefSeq and is a predicted model, not a curated record.
UAUUUUCACCCGUAAAAUCAUUUCAACAGUUUCUUUUCACAAUAACCGAGAGAAACCGAGCGGUGUUCUUCGUGUUCUUCAUAAUCAAACGAGGAUUUGAAGGUGUUAUUGGAAUCCGAUGGAGGCGUAUGAAUAGUCAAAACGAAGCUCUCGACGCGUAGAUUAUAGUUUAAUCAUCAAAACAAGCGCAGAAAGGCUUAAAGAUGAGAUGAUUGAUUGAGAUUGUGAAUAAGGCUAAUGCUAGGCGAGGAGACAGAGUUGAGGAUCCAAUGGUCGAGGAGUGUUCAGGAAAGUUGAUGAGGUUGAUGCAAGCUAGAGCUGUGCUAUAAGGAUUCAAGUGUAAGUCAUAGCUGGAAUAGUUGACAGUGAUUCUUCUUAUCGAAGAUGAUAUGAUUUGGUAAGAAAAGUUGUGUAAUAUUAGUGGUUGAUUCUAAUUUCAAUACUGUAACCUGGAUGCGAUCCUGUUGUUUUAGGGGGUUAAAAUGUUCUCAUUCAAAUCUUUUAUUAAAUGUUUUCAAGUUUUAAAUUC